Molecule: long non-coding RNA, 240 nt
Organism: Eurytemora carolleeae
Lineage: Eukaryota; Metazoa; Arthropoda; Copepoda; Calanoida; Temoridae
Exons: 3
Source: RefSeq, a predicted model, not a curated record
UCAGGUAAAGAAAGCUGUUUCAAAUCACAAAAAUCCAAGGGUAAAAUCUGGAAAUGGUUUCUACGGUACUGUUCGUGGAAGCGGGUUCAAAACAGACUCCUGGAAAAUGGGUCUCCACUUGAAAGAAAUUAGGAUAGUAGAAGAACAAUGCAAUUCAAUAAUGGAGAAACUGAACUAUACUAUAUUUGAUCCAGAACUCAAAUCUACUGAUAAAAAAGUCUAAAUAAAUUAGUUAAACAA